AGGUACUUGUACGAAGAUCUAAGCUUAGUAGACACAGUUUUAAUUUCUUCCCGAUAGCAUAUCAGUAUGAAGAGUGCCUCGUAAUCCUGCUGACGACGACGGCGCUUGCUACCGGCGUCCUCGCAGCGUAUAAUGACCCGCUUCAGCCAGACUACCUCCUACCUUCGGAUGGCAAGCCAGGUUACCCAUACACGAGUUGUCCACAGGGUUUAGUAAUGGUGAUCCUUCCAUUCGAGCUUCUUCCCCGUACCAUCGUCCGUCACCUCCUUGUUCCCAUUUGCCAUGUCCUUGAAGUGAUGUAUUCCUUUUGUCCUUUAUAGUCUUAAAAUAUAUUACAUCUAUACUAGAUUGUACUUAUAUAUUAGAAUGAAAGGAGUAAUGGUCACAUUUUAAAUAGAAGAUUAGUUUGUCGAAGGAAAAAUGACAUUUAUUAGGCUUGUAUGCUUGUACUUAUAAUAAAGUACUUAUAUUGGUGCAGUGUAGUGCAAAAGUUAUCAACAAAUAUAAUAAAAUAGUUUUUAUUUC
RNAcentral lists this small RNA (525 nucleotides) under Oryza sativa Japonica Group (Japanese rice). Its description in RNAcentral is "sRNA Os11g0475200". Lineage: Eukaryota; Viridiplantae; Streptophyta; Magnoliopsida; Poales; Poaceae. The record is from RNAcentral.